UUGGUUUGUUACCGGUGGUUGGCUCUUUGCUUCUGCAACAACUUCCACCUGGCAUUCCUCUUCGUUUUUGCUUCAAGGUUGCAUUUCUUUGAGCGCUUAUGGUUCCUGUUUUGCCUACCUAUGUGACGGUAUCGAAUGAUUAAAUCAAAGUCGUGUUUCAUCAUGUGUCGUUUGUAUGGCGUAGGAUGAACCUCAAAGCAACUUCUAUGAUUCACCUUGUUGAUGCAAUGCAUCGAUGUUGUGGCUCAUUGAGUUUUGCUUGGUUUUCUGGAUACAAAACAUGAUAUGGGUGUUGGUCUUAUGCGAUCCAUUUUUUGCCCUUGUUGAACGUUGUUAUUACUCUGAGAUGACUGUCUAUCCCGAAUUGGCUCGUACCACCGGGGUAGGUUAUGUUGUUGAAGAGCAAUACUAGUGUUCUUGCUUCUCUAAAAUAGACAGCCUCACCUACCAACGGGUGGGCUAUGUCGAAGAGGGAUGCUACCUGGUUGAUCCUGCCAGUAGUCAUAUGCUUGUCUCAA
This 518-nucleotide unclassified non-coding RNA is filed under the name Vieraea laevigata. RNAcentral's name for it is "contains 3 external transcribed spacer, ETS". Lineage: Eukaryota; Viridiplantae; Streptophyta; Magnoliopsida; Asterales; Asteraceae. The record is from RNAcentral.